This 154-nucleotide ribosomal RNA is filed under the name Dodonaea ericoides. RNAcentral's name for it is "5.8S ribosomal RNA". It matches the Rfam family "5.8S ribosomal RNA". From Rfam's summary of the family: 5.8S ribosomal RNA (5.8S rRNA) is a component of the large subunit of the eukaryotic ribosome. The record is from RNAcentral. Lineage: Eukaryota; Viridiplantae; Streptophyta; Magnoliopsida; Sapindales; Sapindaceae.
AAAACGACUCUCGGCAACGGAUAUCUCGGCUCUCGCAUCGAUGAAGAACGUAGCGAAAUGCGAUACUUGGUGUGAAUUGCAGAAUCCCGUGAACCAUCGAGUCUUUGAACGCAAGUUGCGCCCCAAGCCUUUAGGCCGAGGGCACGUCUGCCUG